GUGUUGUGUUAGUGUAUGCAGUGUGUGUGUGUUGUGUUAGUGUAUGCAGUGCGUGUUGUGUUAGUGUAUGUAGUGUGUGUGUUGUGUUAGUGUAUGCAGUGUGUGUUGUAUUAGUGUAUGCAGUGUGUGUUGUGUUAGUGUAUGUAGUGUGUGUUGUGUUAGUGUAUGCAGUGUGUGUGUGUUGUGUUAGUGUAUGCAGUGUGUGUUGUGUUAGUGUAUGCAGUGUGUGUGUU
This is a non-coding RNA of Pelobates cultripes (western spadefoot toad), 233 nucleotides long. The record is from the annotation of a GenBank genome assembly. NCBI's taxonomy places the organism in Eukaryota, Metazoa, Chordata, Amphibia, Anura, Pelobatidae.